This 441-nucleotide ribosomal RNA is filed under the name uncultured bacterium. RNAcentral's name for it is "partial 16S ribosomal RNA". It matches the Rfam family "Bacterial small subunit ribosomal RNA", at positions 338 to 795 of the family's 1533-position model. The record is from RNAcentral.
CCUACGGGAGGCAGCAGUGGGGAAUAUUGCACAAUGGGGGAAACCCUGAUGCAGCGACGCCGCGUGAGUGAAGAAGUAUUUCGGUAUGUAAAGCUCUAUCAGCAGGAACGAGACAAGACGGUACCUGACUAAGAAGCCCCGGCUAACUACGUGCCAGCAGCCGCGGUAAUACGUAGGGGGCAAGCGUUAUCCGGAUUUACUGGGUGUAAAGGGAGCGUAGACGGCUUGGCAAGCCAGAUGUGAAAGGCUGGGGCUCAACCCCCGUACUGUAUUUGGAACUGUCAUGCUAGAGUGUCGGAGAGGCAGGCGGAAUUCCUAGUGGAGCGGUGAAAUGCGUAGAUAUUAGGAGGAACACCAGUGGCGAAGGCGGCCUGCUGGACGAUGACUGACGUUGAGGCUCGAAAGCGUGGGGAGCAAACAGGAUUAGAUACCCCAGUAGUC